GUUGCUUUUCACCAAGAUAUUGCAUGAAUUCAUUGUAGAAUACGAUGUCAGAAUCACUUUCAGGUACAAAGAAAACAACCCAAGCACUAGCUGCUUCAUAGUAAUGCUUUGAAAGCAUGUCUAGACCAGUUCUUGCAGUACAAUCUAAGAACUCUGGCAACAGCAUAUCCAGAACCUUUCCCACAGGAAAGCAGCGAGCACGACAAACAGGUGUUCCACCCUUUGCAAUAGUUCCUUCCCAUUUCCACUCUUUUACAGAUGAUUGUUCUGAAUCAGGAGAGAACCUUU
RNAcentral lists this unclassified non-coding RNA (288 nucleotides) under Hevea brasiliensis (rubber tree). The record is from RNAcentral. Lineage: Eukaryota; Viridiplantae; Streptophyta; Magnoliopsida; Malpighiales; Euphorbiaceae.